Molecule: ribosomal RNA, 504 nt
Filed under: uncultured bacterium
Lineage: Bacteria
Description: bacterial SSU rRNA
Rfam family: Bacterial small subunit ribosomal RNA
Source: RNAcentral
GAACGCUGGCGGCGUGCUUAACACAUGCAAGUCGAACGUAGCUUUAUCACUACGAUCCCGUUCGGGGUGACGGUUUUUAAAGCGAGUGGCGGACGGGUGAGUAACGCGUGGAUAACCUGCCAUACACUGGGGGAUAACAGCUGGAAACAGCUGCUAAUACCGCAUAAAACUGUAGAGUCGCAUGACUUUAUAGCCAAAGCUCCGGCGGUGUAUGAUGGAUCCGCGUCUGAUUAGCUAGUUGGAGGGGUAACGGCCCACCAAGGCGACGAUCAGUAGCCGGUCUGAGAGGAUGAACGGCCACAUUGGGACUGAGACACGGCCCAGACUCCUACGGGAGGCAGCAGUGGGGAAUCUUCCACAAUGGGUGAAAACCUGAUGGAGCAAUGCCGCGUGAAUGAAGAAGGUCUUCGGAUCGUAAAGUUCUGUUAUUAGAGAAGAACAAGUCAAGGAGUAACUGUCUUGACUUUGACGGUACCUAACCAGAAAGUCACGGCUAACUACGUG